This 271-nucleotide long non-coding RNA is filed under the name Dasypus novemcinctus (nine-banded armadillo). RNAcentral describes it as "lncRNA (ENSDNOG00000052659.1)". Lineage: Eukaryota; Metazoa; Chordata; Mammalia; Cingulata; Dasypodidae. The record is from RNAcentral.
GGGUGAGGCCUCCAAGCAUUUUCUGAGGAACAUCUCCACUUGGCGCAGUUUAGACAGCCCUGCAGGACACAGCACGGCCUCGACUUUGUAUGGAGCUGGAGUUCCAUGCUUGCAGGAUUAAGCAUGAAAACAUCGUCGCCCUGGAGGACAUUUACGAAAGCCCCAACCACCUGUACUUGGUCAUGCAGCUGUAAGUACCUUGGUUAAUGGAUGAGUGCAGUCCAAGGGGUAGCAAACUCAACGCCCAAAGAAGCCAGGCGGUGAAGUAAAC